RNAcentral lists this ribosomal RNA (536 nucleotides) under uncultured bacterium. RNAcentral describes it as "bacterial SSU rRNA". It matches the Rfam family "Bacterial small subunit ribosomal RNA", at positions 1 to 531 of the family's 1533-position model. The record is from RNAcentral.
GCCCUUAGAGUUUGAUCCUGGCUCAGGAUGAACGCUAGCGGCAGGCUUAACACAUGCAAGUCGAGGGGUAACAGAGGUAGCUUGCUACUUGCUGACGACCGGCGCACGGGUGAGUAACGCGUAUACAAUUUGCCUUGUACAGGAGGAUAGCCUUUAGAAAUGAAGAUUAAUACUCCAUGGUUUAUUAGAGUCACCUGAUUUUAAUAAUAAAGAUUUAUCGGUACAAGAUGAGUAUGCGUUCUAUUAGCUAGAUGGUAAGGUAACGGCUUACCAUGGCAACGAUAGAUAGGGGCCCUGAGAGGGGGAUCCCCCACACUGGUACUGAGACACGGACCAGACUCCUACGGGAGGCAGCAGUGAGGAAUAUUGGGCAAUGGAAGCAACUCUGACCCAGCCAUGCCGCGUGAAGGAAGACGGCCCUAUGGGUUGUAAACUUCUUUUAUAGAGGAAGAAACCCUCCCACGUGUGGGAGGCUGACGGUACUCUACGAAUAAGCACCGGCUAACUCCGUGCCAGCAGCCGCGGUAAUAAGGGCG